GUGACCUCAAAUCAGGUAGGACUACCCGCUGAACUUAAGCAUAUCAAUAAGCGGAGGAAAAGAAACUAACAAGGAUUCCCCUAGUAACUGCGAGUGAAGCGGGAAAAGCUCAAAUUUAAAAUCUGGCGGUCUUAUGGCUGUCCGAGUUGUAAUCUAGAGAAGUGUUAUCCGCGCUGGACCGUGUACAAGUCUCCUGGAAUGGAGCAUCAUAGAGGGUGAGAAUCCCGUCUUUGACAUGGACUGCCAGGGCUUUGUGAUGCGCUCUCAAAGAGUCGAGUUGUUUGGGAAUGCAGCUCAAAAUGGGUGGUAAAUUCCAUCUAAAGCUAAAUAUUGGCGAGAGACCGAUAGCGAACAAGUACCGUGAGGGAAAGAUGAAAAGAACUUGGGAAAGAGAGUUAACAGUACGUGAAAU
RNAcentral lists this ribosomal RNA (412 nucleotides) under uncultured fungus. RNAcentral's name for it is "eukaryotic LSU rRNA". It matches the Rfam family "Eukaryotic large subunit ribosomal RNA", at positions 1 to 405 of the family's 3401-position model. Lineage: Eukaryota; Fungi. The record is from RNAcentral.